RNAcentral lists this long non-coding RNA (1241 nucleotides) under Fukomys damarensis (Damara mole-rat). RNAcentral describes it as "lncRNA (ENSFDAG00000025936.1)". The record is from RNAcentral. Lineage: Eukaryota; Metazoa; Chordata; Mammalia; Rodentia; Bathyergidae.
CCUCUAUAAAUAUCAAUCUUAAGUUUAUAAUUGAAAAUGGAUCAAUAUAUUCUGAUCACCAUCUGCUGUGUUAUGUAAUGACCCUUCAGUUACUGGUUUGCUUUAUGCUACUAGUCAAUCAAUCAAUCAAUAAUGUAUGGAAUGCCUUCUAUGUUGCAAUACUGUGCUAGAUUUUAAAGAAUAGACAAGCAAAGUAAAGGGGAUCUGGGACAGACUUUGAGGGAUGCUUUUGAUGCAUUAGCACUCGUAGCCAAGCCUAGGCUUUUUAUAGAUGUUGACUUGUUAAAGCCAUACAGCAAACCUAUUGGGUUAAGAUCACUAUUCUGAUUUUAUAGAGAUGGAAACUGAGGCCGAGGGAGACUGAGAUGAUAAGAGUUGUAGUAACGGUUAUGCCUGAUUUUUUCCAGGGAAGGAUUUUCUGCCUCCACAACUCUCUCCAGUAUGUUUGACAUUUCUUCUCUUUUCAGGAGGAGAGACAGGUGGCUAGCAUAUUACGCAAGGCAAGAUCAUUUAUAAUUAAGAGACGUGCUGGUGCAAGGAGAAGCAGACAGGCUCAGCAAGGAGAGUUACUGGUAUGGGCUGAAGAAGCAGAGAAGUCGUUGUAGAAAGAAAGACAAGUUGAGUAGACAGAGGAGGCAGGCCACUGGGAGCAGAAACUUGGAGGUGUGAGCAGGGGCAGAAGGUUUGGGGCAGAGCACAGAGGAGUCAGAGUGAGUGGGAAGAAGACCCUGGGCUGCAGUGCAGAGUCACAGGUGUGUUCCUAGCACCAGCAUUAUGGUGAGGCUGGAUCCAUAAAUAGGUGUUAGGGACAAUGGGAAGUAGGAAGCCAUUGUGAGCUUGCUGGUGGGAUGAAUGUGAUGUUUGUGAUGGUUACAUGAGGACAGUUGAACUGGGGAUGUCAAGAAGUUUGGGCUUGUCUACUCUCCCUCACCAGACUGCCUCCGUCCUGGCAUGGAUUGCAUUCGUCACUGGCCCCUGAGGCUGGAAGAGGUGUCAUCAUAUGUGAAGAGUGUGAGCUGAGUCUGAACAAUUUGGGCCAUCUUCCUCACAGAGGCCAAGAGAGCCUGGCGCUUCCUGACACGUUAAAUCAACACCUGUGCCUUCCCAGUGUGAUCUUCACAGAAGCCUUGUCAGAAGCUAUUGUCCCAUCUAGCAGAUGAAUAGACCAACACUCAGAAGCCCUCAGUGAUCUAUCCAAAGGAGACGUGUCAGGGCUGGGUCCCAACUCCAGGUCCUCUUUC